This is a long non-coding RNA of Prionailurus viverrinus (fishing cat), 2342 nucleotides long. RefSeq lists it as uncharacterized. NCBI's taxonomy places the organism in Eukaryota, Metazoa, Chordata, Mammalia, Carnivora, Felidae. The transcript has 3 exons. The record is from RefSeq and is a predicted model, not a curated record.
ACUCACGGACCUCGAGAUCGUGACCUGGCUGAAGUCGGACGCUUAACCGACUGCGCCACCCAGGCGCCCCGGUACGGUCUUUCUUGACUAGCAACUGCCCCUCUCCCACGUAGGGGCUUCUUGGCUUUAGAGAGUGGGGCACAUGGGCUCUGGGGAAAUUAUAAAGUGACAAAGGUCAUCUUUGGGAAACCUCUCGGCUGCCCAGGUGUGGCUCUUCCUCCUCUGAUGGCCUCAAGAUGAAGGAUUAAGCUGCAGCAGAAUGGACAGGGGGCAGGGGUGGGCAGGCUUUCCUGGCCCCUGAGGCCCUUCCCACAAUUAUCACAGUGUUCAGCUCCAAAUCAAAACCCACGGCCUACAGUGGGGUGGAAAAUGCCACAUAGAUGCUGGAGGCUGUCUGCUGGGGUCAUCCCAGACACCCAAUGCCAGCCUUGGCAGAGAAUCAGAGCCUCGAGGCCAUGAUGUGGGGUCCUGGAUCUAGCCAUGCCUGAAGCUGCCCCGUUGUCAACAGAACCUCCCUGCUUUCAGAGGCGGGUAAGGAGCUGGUGGAUUCGGUUCUGGACGAGCCGUGUGUCUCCUCAGCAUCCCCCAACACUCCCCACGGCCAUCGCUGGGGCUGGCUGCUUCCAAGGCUCUCCCUCUGCUGAGCCCACCCCCAGGGCAGGGAUGCAUCGGGUCCUGACGUCCUCUGAUCCCGGGGAGCCUGGAACCUCCGUGCGUGACGUUCACGCAGGUCUGCAGCUCCCUGUGCCCUCAGCCUCUCCUUUCCUUCCCCAGGCUAAAAACGCAGACAAGUGCACCCCCCACCCACCGUAACGGGUUCUCUGGAGUCUCGAGGGUGAGGAACGCCACCGCAGAAAAGGCGGCGAGGCCACAGCGCACGUGUUCUCUCUCUGCAGGACGGUUCUCAGAGCCUCAGCUCGGGGUGAACACAGAGCGGUUUUGUUGGGGCCAACAGCCCCUCCCGAUCAUGCUUUGCGGCCUCCUCCCCUGUGCGGGCCCCGCCACACCCGGUCACUUUGGGUGGUCGGGGUGCCGUCCUCUGUCUAAAGCAGCUUCUCAUCCCGCCCAUGGCCCCCCUGGCCGGAGCCGGACUGUGUCACACGGGGCUCCGGCUGCCCCCGGCCCAGGUGCCACCAGGUCUGAUGCCCCCAGCCUCGUGGCCUGCCCUCGCGAGUCAUCACGCAUAAAGCCCGGCAGGGAGGUUUCCGUCCCCGAAGGGCCUCUCAGGAUCGGAGUGGGGUGAAGGGGGAGUGGGAGUGUCAGGGGCUGCUUAGCUCCACUGCCAUUUACAACCUCAGUCACCGACUCCGGGGCUCUGGUGAGCACCUCCCUCUCAAUCCGUUCUCACCGUGCCCUCGCUAGCUCCCCAGAUGCCACCCCGCGGUCCCCGGCUCCUGGUGUCCGUGCCCUUGUGGAGUCUGGGCUGCUCUGUGCCAAGGUGAGUGGCAUCCGGGACGAGGUCACAGGCGACAUUGUGGUUUCCACCUUACCCCCUUUCGGAUCACUGACCCUGGUGGACCCCGGCCGCCACGCCGUGAGGACGUCCGCGUGGCUCUUCGGAGAUGCCAAGUGGCCGGGCACCGAGGGCCCUGCCAACGGCCGUGUGAACUCACCUUCUCGAAAACAGACCCUCCGGCCCCGGUGACACCCUCACGUGAUGCCACCCUGUCUGACAUCUUAGCUGCAGCCUCGUGAUAAACCCUGAGUCAGACCCCCCAAAUCCCUGAGCCACAGAAACCACAAGAUCCACCCGCAGCAGCAGCGACGGCUGAGGACCCGUAAUAAAGAAAAUGCAAUCGGACGCGCUGGAACGACGUUCCGCUUUCUCAUUGCUGACCGUCAACCUCCGCAGGCUCACGGCCGACCAGAGAGCACCCGCCCCGCCUGGCAGCAGGCAGCCCGGUGGGGCCCGAGGGCCAGCGGCCAGGGCGCUGGGAGGAGCCCCAUCCUGACGACAGAAGCCCGCCUCUGCCUGCCCGGUUUCUGCAGUGAGCACACCCUCUCAGAGAAGGACCUGGAAGCCCAGAAAGCCGCUGGCAGGGCUGAGAGAAGGAAGGGGGUCGGAAAGAGAGGUCUGUGUGCAGGUAGAGCCUGUGCACAUGUGUGUUACACACACACGUGACAUGCACACCAUGAACACGCCCCCACAUGCCCCUCACACACCAACACACACAGAACUAGGCUUUCCUCUUGCACAACAAGCACAAACUCCUGGGUCUCCAAUCAGCCAGAGCUGUGUUUCUGGCUCUCACUCUGUGCCGUAUCCAAUCUACUCCGUUUGCCACAAGGCCUACCCACCUCGGCACAGGUGAGCCUCACCUUGCCUCACUGCCUGACCAUGG